Molecule: non-coding RNA, 45 nt
Filed under: Schistosoma haematobium
Lineage: Eukaryota; Metazoa; Platyhelminthes; Trematoda; Strigeidida; Schistosomatidae
Source: RNAcentral
AUCCAGCUGAAGAGUCACGAAUAGGACGAAACGCACGUUCUGGAU